CCCUGCAUUCGUAAGUGAUCAGAAGGCACCCAUGCUCUGGUCAUUGGUAGUGCAGGCAGACAAACUGUGGAAAGAAUCGUCCUGUGUUUGGAGGGUCUGUGUGCUUGCCUUCCAUUUCUAGGAGCUUUCCCACA
Molecule: small nucleolar RNA, 134 nt
Organism: Octodon degus (degu)
Lineage: Eukaryota; Metazoa; Chordata; Mammalia; Rodentia; Octodontidae
Gene: SNORA71
Rfam family: Small nucleolar RNA SNORA71
About the family: The members of this family belong to the H/ACA class of snoRNAs which bind a number of proteins (including dyskerin, Gar1p and Nop10p) to form snoRNP complexes. This class of snoRNAs are thought to guide the sites of modification of uridines to pseudouridines by forming direct base pairing interactions with substrate RNAs.
Source: Ensembl